UGGGGAAUUUUGGACAAUGGGGGAAACCCUGAUCCAGCCAUCCCGCGUGUGCGAUGAAGGCCUUCGGGUUGUAAAGCACUUUUGGCAGGAAAGAAACGUCGCGGGUUAAUACCCCGCGAAACUGACGGUACCUGCAGAAUAAGCACCGGCUAACUACGUGCCAGCAGCCGCGGUAAUACGUAGGGUGCAAGCGUUAAUCGGAAUUACUGGGCGUAAAGCGUGCGCAGGCGGUUCGGAAAGAAAGAUGUGAAAUCCCAGAGCUUAACUUUGGAACUGCAUUUUUAACUACCGGGCUAGAGUGUGUCAGAGGGAGGUGGAAUUCCGCGUGUAGCAGUGAAAUGCGUAGAUAUGCGGAGGAACACCGAUGGCGAAGGCAGCCUCCUGGGAUAACACUGACGCUCAUGCACGAAAGCGUGGGGAGCAAACAGGAUUAGAUACCCUGGUAGUCCACGCCCUAAACGAUGUCAACUAGCUGUUGGGGCCUUCGGGCCUUGGUAGCGCAGCUAACGCGUGAAGUUGACCGCCUGGGGAGUACGGUCGCAAGAUUAAAACUUAAAGGAAUUGACGGGGGUGCAUAGCUU
RNAcentral lists this ribosomal RNA (581 nucleotides) under uncultured bacterium. RNAcentral describes it as "partial 16S ribosomal RNA". It matches the Rfam family "Bacterial small subunit ribosomal RNA", at positions 355 to 929 of the family's 1533-position model. The record is from RNAcentral.